Cinara cedri is the source of this 595-nucleotide non-coding RNA. Lineage: Eukaryota; Metazoa; Arthropoda; Insecta; Hemiptera; Aphididae. The record is from the annotation of a GenBank genome assembly.
UUAUAUGUUCAUAACAUUAUACAUUGUUUAGUUAAGUUGAACAAGUGACAUAGAUAUUCAAUAUAAUGACUAAAAACUAAUAAGGUGUAAUUUUUAGAUGGGACAUUAUUGUAGCAAGGCUGCAGUAAGUUAAUACCAUAGUCAUCUUAGCACCAAGUCUCUGAACACAGCAAAACAAAAACAAAAAUCUAUUUUUUUUUGCUCAUUACGAAUUUUGAGUGGAGGGGCAGGUGUAUAAAACAGGGAUGACUUUUUUUUUAAAUUUUUUUGCUCAGUACUGGAUAGAUCGGUAUACUUUUGUUAACUGCUGUCAAAAUUCCUCUGUUAGCCACUGUAAAUACAUGCUUAAAAUAAGACAUGGUAGAGUUAAUUUUUCUUAGUCCCCUUCAUUGUUUUCUACUCCUCAAAAAACUAAAAUAACAAAUAUAAUAGAAAUAACAAGCCAAAAUUUAAAAAGGAAAUGUAAUUUGAUCGAAAUAGAUACACCUUGACAAAUAAAUUUAAAAUAAACAUUAAAACCAAAUAAUUCAUAAAAAAAAAAUAAAUAUCACAUCUCAAAAUUAAAAAAAAAGAGUUAGUACAUUGAAGAAUACUC